UUGUUUCAGAUUUUAAACAUUCUUCCAAAAUCAUUCUUCACAAUUGAUUCAAGAAGUAUUCGUUAACUUACAGGAAGUAAUAACAUAGUACAGAAAAGAUUUCUAGCCAAGGUUGGCCAAAACAUCAUUUAAGGUAGUUACAGUUUCAGCAUAGUACUUCUGUGCUUCAUCGCUGUUCUUGGUCUUUGCUGCAUGGUCCAGCUGAGGAAAGAAAAUUAAAAAUGGUUUGUCAGAAGAAAGCGAAAUCAUAAGCAACCCAUCCAAUUACUAUGUCAUUCAUGUUAUUAACCAAGAAUUUAGGCAUUUGACUUACAUCACUAAUGGUCUUAAAGAGCUUUCCAGACAGGUCCUGGAGUUUUCCCUUCUGUUCUUUUGGCUUAGCAGAGAUGACAGUCUUAAGGUCAUAGCGAAGAUAUUCUGCUCUGAGACGAAGGUCAUUCUGGACGUAAGGCCAGGCCUUCUUGUCGAUGAAAUUCUUGACGCUAACAAUCUCCUUAGCUGAAUCCUUAACUCUCUGGACUGCCUCAGCUGGAGUCAAUGGUUGAAGGUAAAACCUAUUCUUCAAUGGCAAACUGAAGUCCCUUGCCUCAUCUGAGUUCAAAGUUCCAGCUGCCCAAACCAAAUCUCAGUAUCAGUACGGAAAUUCCAUGCAUUAGCUUUUCUAGUACUUGCAACCAAUAUUCUUUCUAGUUCAAAUAGUUGGAAUUUUCUGUACAUCUAAUUUUACCAAAAUGAGAAACCAUGAUAGUUCCAACUGCAUAUAUAACUACUCCUGAAUCUUGCAUUCCUGCAAGAGGCUAUUACCACAACAGCUCGAACAACUUUACCUGGCAAGGCUCCCCUCACACAAUAUUACUAUUAAAAUUAGAAGGGACAAUUUACAGAUCCUUAUAAGGAUUGAAAUCAUCUUGUCAAAAUGCAAUCUUUAACUACUUUCUAUGAGCCCCUCUUCUUUUUUUUCUUUUCUCAAGCUUAAUUCUCCUUUUUUAAUUCAGUUAAGGACCUUUCUGUUUGACAUGACCUGAUAACAAUCUAAAUUAAUCUUUUCCUUGAUCCAUCUUUCAAUUGGAAAUGCUGAUAUAAAUAUCAAGUUGCUUGAUCUAAAGGAUCAAAUUACUAAAAAUUGAAAUGCAGCAUUUGAGGGUCACUCCUAGGUUCUCUGUCUUUUAUAUCUGAAUCUUACUAUAUAUCAAUUGUCCGUAAGUAUAUCUGUUAUGAUAUUACUAUUGUAUCGUUCGAGUAAUCAGUGAUGGAUCUAGACUAGACGCGUGUAAUUCAGACUUUAUAAAUCUGUAUGUGUUUGAAAUUGAAAAAAUUGGAACAUCUAUAAAAGAAGAAGUCGAUUCAUCACUAAGAAAGAAAGCAAAACAGACGACUUACGCAAUCCACCAGAGGGAGGAGGUGGGGGGCCAACCUUAAUUGACCUGGCUUCAGCAAAAGCUGAUUUAGCAAAGGAACCAGCUAGGCCAGCAGCAACAAGACCAAUCAUGGCUCUGCGGCUAGUUUCGAUGUCAACAGACCCCUGUUGGGCUCUGACAGUGAGUCCUGGUCUAGACAAGGCAAUUCUGGUGGUGCUGACAGUGCUCAAGCGGGCUGAGCCACUAAGCUGGAGGCUACCAUCCAAGACAGUUUGUGAAGAACCAAUUAGGCCACCCAUAGAAGCCAUAGCAUGAGCCAUUUCUCAGGACCUUUUUG
RNAcentral lists this long non-coding RNA (1695 nucleotides) under Solanum tuberosum (potato). RNAcentral's name for it is "long non-coding RNA (STUB_LNC003060)". Lineage: Eukaryota; Viridiplantae; Streptophyta; Magnoliopsida; Solanales; Solanaceae. The record is from RNAcentral.